Molecule: small nuclear RNA, 101 nt
Filed under: Haemonchus placei
Lineage: Eukaryota; Metazoa; Nematoda; Chromadorea; Rhabditida; Trichostrongylidae
Source: RNAcentral
GUUCAUUCUUAAACAUAUAAUAAAAUUGAAACAAUACAGAGAAUAUUGGCAUGGGCCCUGCGCGAGGAUGAACGCAAAUUCGUGAAGCGUUCAUCCUCGAU